UCUUUCUCCAGUUUUCCUUCCAAGCAAGCCCAGAACCAUCUCUUUAUCUGCAACCCCUUUCGAAGUGCCUUGGUGAUGGGUGAGCUAUGGCCAUGUUGCAGACAAGAUGGUAUUCCCUUGACUUUUAAUUCCAAGCACUCUGAGGAGAUUCUUUAGAAAUUCUCCUUGGGCCCUGGGGGCUUUUUUCUUCAUUUGCUUUAUGUGGUCUGAUUUCUGCUAGGUUUAAAUCAUCUUUUAAUGCUGACUCAUUCACUCAAUGAGCAUAACUCCAAAAUUCAAGACUUUCCAUGGCCCAGCUUCCCAGGAUCUGUCUCAGAUGGUGGCUUCAAGGGAAUGGUGUAUCCAUUCCAUUCUCCCAGGCACUGGGUCAGGAUGUCCUGUGUGACUAUCACUGGAUGGGGCGGUAGAAAUGUUUAUGGCACUGAGUUCUCUCCAGUACCUCACCUGAAUGCUGAUGCCUUGGUCUACUUGUGGAUGGUACUAAUUGCCAUUAGGACUUUGGCUAAAAAUUGCCCUGGUGGGAAAGGGGCAGGAAGAACAAUGUUGUCACCCUUGGAGGACCUCAGGUAGGAGGGAGGAGAUCUAAGGGGACUGAGUUGUAUUAAGCAUCUUCUGCAAGCCAGGAACAGAGCCAAGUGAACUAGGGCUCUGUCAUACAUGAUCUCAGGUUCUUACAACAAGCUUUUGGGUUACACUUCACCUCCUAUUCCCAAUUAACAGACAGGAAGACCAUGAUUUAAAAAGGUCAGGCAUCAGUAAGUGGAUAAGAAUCCAGGGAAGUGCAUCGAAUUAUGUACCUUCCACCACACCACAUGGACCCCUGUGGAAAGGAGGACUCAGGAGAAGAGAAGGUGACCUCAGUGCCCCAAGUCCCACUGCCCAGCCCCGGUGUGGGUGUCUGAAGCACCAAGCUUUGCAUAGCAAGAGAAAAUGAGAAGGCUGAAAGAGGCCACUUGCAGAUGCUUUACUAAAGCAAGCUGUAGUGCAGCGAGAGUGAGCCUGAGAGUGUGGGAAGACAAGCAGGCCUCCAGCCUCCCAGGGUUCUACCAAACUGUUCUUGCCAUCAGGAAAGGUUGGUGGGGGUGGCGGUACUGUUUUGGUCUUCAGAGCAGGGCACAUGUCCUUUCAGAGUGUCUUUCCUGCUCACAGUGACCAGUUCUCUGGGUGCUGAGCCUUAUACCACCUACUUCCAGAAAAGGGCCCCUGGCAGAUGUAACUUCACACACAACCCCAUCUCCCUGACUACCCCAGAUGUGUGCAUCCAGGGGAACACAGAAACCAGGCUGGACCAAGUAGUGCUUGGGUGAAUUUGGCUGGUCCUGUGAAGAGAGGAAAUAUAAGCUUAGGAGUUAGGCAAUGGCCAUGUUCGACCCCCACAUACACAGAGCAUCAAGGAGAGGGGUUGGUGGAAAGAAGCAGAGGCCAGUGAGACAGAUGGGGAGGAGCUUCCUGCCUUCUUGGAACCUUCUAGGCCUGGUUCCCAUCUCUCUCAUGGCCCAAUUGUUGGAUUUUUUCUUGGAUUCCAACAAAGCGCCCAACUUCUUCCCAGUAUGUUUCCUAGGCUUGUUCAUUUGACCUGGGCUUCUGGCACUUUCCACCAAAAGUGUCCUGAUGAUUCCAGGUGAGGAGGAGCUAUCCUUUUGAAAGCCUAGACUUUUACUCCUCAAGGAGCCUCCCCAAGGAUUUCAGAGAGGCUGGGGAUGGAUGGGACCAUCCUUCUUCUAUCUGGUUGAGGUUGAGAUUCUCAUUCCGACUGUAGGUGAAAUGACAGAGUGAAACUCCAGGGACAUUCAUCACAAUAAUUAAGCCCUAUCAGAAUCAGGCAGGAGUCACACUCUAAUAACAGAACCUUUCAAUGUCAACUCCAAGGACUCAUAUACAGCUUUUGGGUGUAAUUCAUCUGCUGAGACUAUUCUGUGUUACCCCACUAAUCUGUGUCUCAAUAAUGACUCAGGACUCAUGUUGACCUUGAUGUCACACAAAGGUUUUCAUCACACCGCCCUCCCAAAGAGAGCAAGGAUGGCAGGUGGGGCCCUGUCAUCACACUUGUUUCCUUCCACAACUUGACUCGAGUAUUUAAAGCCUUUCUGUUUUAUCUUUGGCCAGUUUCCACAGUCCUUCCUGGGAUCUUUCCUCUGGAUUCAGGGAACCCAUUGUCUCUGGUGCCAGCUCUGCCAAGCCCUCCAGUGGGACAGCGUGACACAUCUCACCUUCCUUCUACAGGCAUCCGCUCCCCAAGGCCCCACUACUGGCACCAUGUUCCCAGCAAGGAGACAGGCACACCAGCCUUCACUUGACUUCAUGGGGCGGGGGCCCUCCCAGGAGCUCUGAGCCCCCAGUACUGUCAGACCUCUGCUGCAUGCAGGGGGGAGACCUAGGGAAGAUAAUGAUGCCAAAAACCCAAGGAUCAGGGAGUGGGAGUGAGGGCGGGUUGUUCUGUGUCACCCCCUCCUGCCCUCUUUUCUAGAGCAGUGAUCAAGGGGGUACAUACAUUGCUGGCUGCAGCAAAGAGCCUCCCCCCCUCGCUUCCUGCUAGGCCCCAGAGGUGGCCAUGGGGUAAAUGGUCCCCAGCAGUGUGAGCACCAGGGUUGCAGAUCAGGACCCACUUACCCUGCUCGUGCUGUGACCAGAGGCCUGAAGACCACCCUGGGUUCAGUGUGUGUAACUUCAAAGCAGCGACUUUGCCUUUUAUUGGAAGCCCCACGCAAAUCACAAGCCUCCAAGGCAUUUAUUAAGUGCCCGUGUCUCCUUCGUCUAUGUUGACACCUGACCAAAGAGUUACAUUUAAAAAUUUCACUGACUGACUUAUACCCUGCCCCAUUUCCAAAGCAGAUGACAAUACAACCCCAGGUACAAGUAAGGCCAGGAACAUUUACCCAAGACAAAGGAGGGAAACAAAGGCAGAGAAUUAUGCCCAGCCUCAGCCUUUCAGGAAGGUAAAAAUCUAAGGCUUCAUUCUCUGGAUGUCUUUAAACUUCGCCAAGAUGUAAGGGCUACUUUUAUUUCGUUCUGCAAAACUCCUCCAACCCCAUCAGAAAGGCAGUACCCCCUUGUGGCCAAGUUUUAGUCCCAUUUAGAGGAAUGUUGCAGGGUGGCUGGCCACUGCAGGGGGCCAGGCAGGCAGGGUGUCUGUCACCGGCCAGCGGUCCCUGCCCUUCUGGCCACCGCUGCCAAAAGCUUGGGUAGGUUUGUGUUUCCCAGCUGAGCCUCCACGCUGCCGAUGGCCUUCCAAGUUGUGCCCUGGCCUGGUUUGUGGUGCAUCCUCAUUUCACUAAUGGAAAUGAAGGUAACAGCAGUCUCCUCCCGCCUCCGUCCAGUUGUGGCCUUUCCUAAGAGGACAAACCUGCUGAAGGACACAGAGACCAUGUCACCCACAAGAGGUCCACACCAGAAGAGGAGAGAGCCCCAUUCUGCUGACUCCUUCCGAAAGCCUGGGACCCUGUGCACAGUAGCCUUUGGAAGACAGGCGAGCUGGCUCUACCUGUCUUGCAGAUUCAGAAUCUAGGUCAUUCUGCUCCCUCCCCUCCUCCUCUGGAAGACAAGCCAGAUUUCUCCUAGGGUCUCAGAAGGAGAGAGGGGACGGCAGGAGAAAAUGUUUUAGCGGGACCCACACCCUGCCUGCUGCUGUCAGGAACAUUUCAUUUUGAAGCCAAUAUAAUUUAUGAGAUGCAAAUGGAUUUAGCAUUAAAAAAGAAAAAAGAGAAAGAAAGACUUGGAAAAGGUACAAAGUGCACCUCACACCCUUGUGCUGAGGCUUGUUUGGGGCUCCAUUAAUCAUCUCAGACAAAAGAGAUUUCAUCUGCGGCUAGGCAAUCUGGGAGCCCCCCUGGGGGCCAGCUGAGAGCAGCGGGCACUGACUGCAGGCCUGGCCUCUGAGCGGCUCCGGCCUCCGCUGCCCAGCACUUGUGCUGAGCUCUGGUCUGAGUCACGCACUAGAUGAAAUUACAGAGGUUUCUGCACAUGAUGAAUCAGAAAGCAGGAUCAAGCCAAAUAUUUGGACAAGCCUUGCCCCGCGUGGAGCAGGAGGGAGAUGGAGCCGCCAGCCAGAAGCCUGCCAGCAGCCUUCCCAGAGAUGGCUUCUGACAAAGUGCCGCCGUGGGGCAGGCUACUGCCUAGAAGGGUGUUAGCUCCAUCCAUUAGGGCAGCCUGCAGCUGGAUCUCUCAGCCAGGUCAGCUCUACAAAAGGGGCCUCUGAGCAUCCCAGGGCCCUGAGCCCUGAUUCAGCCUCACCCUUGGAGAAGGGGGGCUUGUGCGAGUGCGGCGUGCAGGGUGGGGGAGGAGAUGGUUUGCUUUGAGUCACCCCAUCCGCCUUCUUUUUUAGGAGUCAUCGGGGCCAGGGCGGCAGGCAGCGUUUCCUGCAGCAGUGAGCUGGGGCGACCACGCGUCCUCCCACCGCUCCUGCCUGGGCCAGGGUGGGGACGCAGGCAGACACGGUGGCUGCAGAAUGGGGAAGGAAGUGGAGCCCUGUGCCCUGUGCCAAAGAUUUGCUGCUGUGAGGACCUUCAGGAGAGGCUAAUUGCCAUCCUUUAGAGCUUCAAAGCCAAGAGUUUUCAAAGCUGUUCAGAACAGCAACAAAAGCCCAGUAAUAACAAUGCUACCUGAGGUUUGUCUGGAAUCUUUAUUAAUCUUUAAAUUUAACUUUUGAAAGAUAUCAGUAUUCUUGGGGUUAUUUUAAGCUACAUUUUCCCUUUGCUGGGAAGCCCUCAGGAACUAAACCAACUAGUCUGCCUUGGGAAGAAAAGACAAAGCUAUGCAAGCAGAAUGUUGAUGUUGAUGAAUGACAGUGGUAGCGCCCAGCCCUAUGAUCCUGGUGAGAAUGUCCUGGGUGAGCCUCGUGGGAACCCCUACAAGGUGGCUGCUA
Sus scrofa (pig) is the source of this 4861-nucleotide non-coding RNA. The record is from RefSeq and is a predicted model, not a curated record. Lineage: Eukaryota; Metazoa; Chordata; Mammalia; Artiodactyla; Suidae.